AAAACGGUCCUUUUCAGGGCCACCAAACUGUUCUGAAAAGCCUGU
Daphnia magna is the source of this 45-nucleotide non-coding RNA. The record is from Rfam. NCBI's taxonomy places the organism in Eukaryota, Metazoa, Arthropoda, Branchiopoda, Diplostraca, Daphniidae.